RNAcentral lists this long non-coding RNA (392 nucleotides) under Linum usitatissimum (flax). RNAcentral's name for it is "long non-coding RNA (LUSI_LNC004136)". Lineage: Eukaryota; Viridiplantae; Streptophyta; Magnoliopsida; Malpighiales; Linaceae. The record is from RNAcentral.
UACAAUCUCUUUUCUCACAUUUCAAACCUCUCUCUCUCUCUCUGGUCUUUAAUCUCUUGCAGAUAUUAAAGAAAGAAAGAAAAGAAAAGAAGACGUGGCUAAGAAGAAGUCCAAGAAAAGUUUCAAACUUGGGUGGGGAAGUGCAUGCCUGUCAUCAGUCAUGCAUGCAUUAUCCUUCUUCUUCUGCAGAAAAUCUACUGGUGGGGCCGCCUGAAUCAAACCUUUUACUACCCAGAUUUGGAUUUGCCCAAUUUUACCCAAAUCUAUCUGCUUGCUUUUUGGCUCACCCAACAUUUUUCGUUUUGAAUUCUGAAAAAAAAAAGAACAAAAGAGCCGUGGCGUGACUGACAAUUGAGUCAAAGUCAAGAAACUUAUGAACUGACCAAUGGGGG